UGGGGAAUAUUGGACAAUGGGCGAAAGCCUGAUCCAGCCAUGCCGCGUGUGUGAAGAAGGCCUUUUGGUUGUAAAGCACUUUAAGUGGGGAGGAAAAGCUUGUGGUUAAUACCCAUAAGCCCUGACGUUACCCACAGAAUAAGCACCGGCUAACUCUGUGCCAGCAGCCGCGGUAAUACAGAGGGUGCAAGCGUUAAUCGGAAUUACUGGGCGUAAAGCGCGCGUAGGUGGUUAUUUAAGUCAGAUGUGAAAGCCCCGGGCUUAACCUGGGAACUGCAUCUGAUACUGGAUAACUAGAGUAGGUGAGAGGGGAGUAGAAUUCCAGGUGUAGCGGUGAAAUGCGUAGAGAUCUGGAGGAAUACCGAUGGCGAAGGCAGCUCCCUGGCAUCAUACUGACACUGAGGUGCGAAAGCGUGGGUAGCAAACAGGAUUAGAUACCCCGGUAGUCCACGCCGUAAACGAUGUCUACCAGUCGUUGGGUCUUUUAAAGACUUAGUGACGCAGUUAACGCAAUAAGUAGACCGCCUGGGGAGUACGGCCGCAAGGUUA
This 549-nucleotide ribosomal RNA is filed under the name uncultured bacterium. Its description in RNAcentral is "bacterial SSU rRNA". It matches the Rfam family "Bacterial small subunit ribosomal RNA", at positions 355 to 896 of the family's 1533-position model. The record is from RNAcentral.